This is a long non-coding RNA of Taeniopygia guttata (zebra finch), 2832 nucleotides long. Lineage: Eukaryota; Metazoa; Chordata; Aves; Passeriformes; Estrildidae. The record is from Ensembl.
AGUGUUGAGUUAUACAUUUUUAUUUUCUAAUAGGUACAAUACUAAAAUAAACACAAAUUAAAAAAAAGUUUUAUUAAAACAAAACUGUACAAAAAAGCAGUUAUACUACAUUUUAAUUACAGAACAGUCUACUGUCCAAAAGGCACUAAUCCAGAAUAGGAGAUACAAUGAUACAGGACUCAUUUGAACUAUUUUAAUCAAUACAAUAGAGCACUUGUUUCUCUGUCCAUUCACAUACAGAAACAAGGACUUUGCUACAGUCAUUACACAUUGUUAUAAAUAUGAGCCCUACGUAGAAAGUGUCAUACACAUAAGACAAAGACAGGCAUCUGGAUGUUAACAAAAAUAAGUAACAAAGAAAUAUGAUUAAACAAAAUCUCUUCUCACAUCAUCCUAUACUACAUCCUCCUUCUGCUUAGCAGAAAAUUGUACGUACACAAAAAUACAAAUACACAAUUUUGUAGAACAGUCUGAUUUUAAUAUAUUUAUAUAUAUUUAUAUUUAUAUGAGUGGCAGGUUAGUUCAUUAUAUAGAGCUUUUUGCACUUUUGGCUCAUAUGCAACAAGGCUUUAUAAAUUCAGCUUUAGCUUUCAUUCAGGUUUUAUAGCUUCUUGAACAUUUGUUUUCACAUUUAAAGCAGCAUCCAAUUUGCAAGAGGAGUUGGUGGUGGCUACAGCAAGGAUCAGGUCAAGAGGUUAUUUGGGGGCUAGGGGGGAGGAGAAUAUACAUUCCAGUGUGUGUGUGAGUGUGUGUGAGUGUGCGCUAGUGCUCAUGGAAAACCGACCAGAGGGUGACCACACCACUCCAGGAUCCCAUGGUUACCCCUUGAGGUAGGCAGGAACCUACAGCAGAUGAGACACGGCCCAGCUGGGGCGAAGCAGCAGCUGGGUGGGAGAGGCCAGGGCAGGGAUGGGGUCCUGGGUGUCACUGAUUUAUCUGGUGACAGUGACAGGAGGCAGCUGGAGCCAUCCCAGCACGGCCCAGGCAGGAGAAGUGGAGCUGGCCCCGGGUCGAGGUCACGGUGGGACAAAGUGGAGACACAGAGAAUUGGGAUGUGAGGAACCUCCCCGGCCUUGGUUGGGGUUUUGUUGUUUCCAUGUGGCUCCGAGGCUGUUCCACCGUGCCCUCGCUCGUGGGUUUGCAACUGCAGCACCCAUCCGCUGCCAGGACAGCCAUUUGUCACUUGUCACACUUCCAAAAGGCAUCUCGGAGCAGGGCCAAGGUCCGUGCGUGCCACAGGCUCCACGAACAGUGGAUUUCCAUCAGGAAUCUCCUGAUUUCCAUCAGCAAUGGAUUCCCACAGGAUCACUGCUUCUAUCAGCACCCAUCCCCUCCCCAGAGGCUGAGUGUCUGCCCUCUGCAGAGAUGUCCUCAAAGCUUUCCUUGCCAACAGUCCCUUCCCAGGCCUUCCCACCUCAGAGUGAAAACAUUUUGUUGCUAAUGAAAAAUAAAACAUCUACACACGGCUUGCUUUUAUUUGCUGAACCCUUAAGUGGUACUAAAACUCCUUCAUAGUGUUUGUUACCUCCUCUCACUGUGGUCAGAAGAAAUCCUCUUUUAAUGAAAUAUUAUAAUCUACCACUGAUACUUUUAUUCUUUAAAUCCACAUAAAAUUCUCACCUUUACAAAAUUAUAACCACCUGCUGAUAGUUUAGGGUUAUUUGGACAAAAUGUUUAGCAGGUUCUACUAUGACAAACCUAGAAAUAAUUAAGAAUAUAGGAAGAAACUGCCUUUGGGAUUCCAGAGAGGUUCUGGCUGCCCCAUCCCUGGAAAUGUUCCAGGCCAGGUUGGAUGGGACUUGGAGCAACCUGGGAUAGUGGGAGAUGUCCCUGCCCAUGGCUGGAUGAUUUUAAACCAUUCUGUGAUUCCAAAAGAGGUGAUUAAAGAAGCACAUCAGCUGUUUCCACCCAGAUCUGGUUUUCCAAAGGUGGGCGUUUUAUCACACAGAGCUCUUUGUAUCUGCAAUCCAAGAGGCAGUUUCCUUCUGAAUUCCAUCCUCUUUGCCAUCCACCCCAGAUCAGAGACUGCAAACGUUCGGCUGAGGAACGAGAUCCCCCUCCCAGAAGACUGAGAACCAAGGGGGGCAGCACGAGGAAAGAAUGGGGAGUUUUUCCAGCCGGACUCAUUGGAGGGAUAUGCAGAGGGAUGCAGGGAGGGCUCUUUUCUCAAGAGGGAAAUGAGGUCUAAUCCUAUUCCUCCAGCUCACUCUGGAGUCCUGUUCCUCACUUAGGCACUUUUUAAAUCGACACUAAGAAAAAAAACCAACAAACUAAAAUGAAAGAAGUACUGCACGUAUCUCCCGCUUCCCGGGUUUGGGAAGAUCAUAAAGACCAAGAGGAAGACAGCCAAGGCAUUGUGUCAGGAAAAUGGUCACAACUGACUUUGACUCGUCACCCUUCCACAGAACUGCUGUGAAACUAAACUGAGUUUAAAUCUGAUGCUCCUGGGUUUCCCUGUCCCAUGGUGGCACGGUGGCAUCGUGUCAUCCCACAGGAUCUGACUUCCAACGGGAUCACCGGGCUCUCCCAGCCUCAACCAGCAGCACUGGUGGGAGAAGUGCUGCCCAGAACCACUCAGAACUCCAGCAGCAAUAUCAGGGAGGCUUUGAUGAGAUUCAGAAAGACAUUCCUGGAGCCAACAGCAAGGGAAAAGGGCUUUUUCCCUUUUACUGGGUGAUAGAAUGGGGAAUCUGUCCCUCCCAAAGACCAAACAGGGCUCUGACCCCACAGCAACCAAAAACCAGCUUCAGGUCAGCACAAGGCUCAGGAUGACACUCCAAUUCACAAAGAAGCCAAAAAAAAAAAAACAAACAAACAACAAAAAAAAAAAAA